Molecule: long non-coding RNA, 134 nt
Organism: Salvelinus sp. IW2-2015
Lineage: Eukaryota; Metazoa; Chordata; Actinopteri; Salmoniformes; Salmonidae
Source: RefSeq, a predicted model, not a curated record
CUAUUCUUCCCUUGCAGGGGGAACAUGGGGAGGCAGGUGCUAAAGGUUUGCGUGGGAAAGCAGGGGCCAAAGGAGACAAAGGAGAUCAUGGUAAAGAUGGCCAAGCAGGGUUACCUGGUCCCAUUUGAAUUGAU